RNAcentral lists this ribosomal RNA (802 nucleotides) under uncultured bacterium. Its description in RNAcentral is "bacterial SSU rRNA". It matches the Rfam family "Bacterial small subunit ribosomal RNA", at positions 101 to 919 of the family's 1533-position model. The record is from RNAcentral.
AACGGGUGAGUAACGCGUGAGGAACCUGCCUCAAAGAGGGGGACAACAGUUGGAAACGACUGCUAAUACCGCAUAAGCCCACGGGUCGGCAUCGACCAGAGGGAAAAGGAGCAAUCCGCUUUGAGAUGGCCUCGCGUCCGAUUAGCUAGUUGGUGAGGUAACGGCCCACCAAGGCGACGAUCGGUAGCCGGACUGAGAGGUUGAACGGCCACAUUGGGACUGAGACACGGCCCAGACUCCUACGGGAGGCAGCAGUGGGGAAUAUUGCACAAUGGGGGAAACCCUGAUGCAGCGACGCCGCGUGGAGGAAGAAGGUCUUCGGAUUGUAAACUCCUGUUGUUGAGGAAGAUAAUGACGGUACUCAACAAGGAAGUGACGGCUAACUACGUGCCAGCAGCCGCGGUAAAACGUAGGUCACAAGCGUUGUCCGGAAUUACUGGGUGUAAAGGGAGCGCAGGCGGGAAGACAAGUUGGAAGUGAAAUCCAUGGGCUCAACCCAUGAACUGCUUUCAAAACUGUUUUUCUUGAGUAGUGCAGAGGUAGGCGGAAUUCCCGGUGUAGCGGUGGAAUGCGUAGAUAUCGGGAGGAACACCAGUGGCGAAGGCGGCCUACUGGGCACCAACUGACGCUGAGGCUCGAAAGUGUGGGUAGCAAACAGGAUUAGAUACCCUGGUAGUCCACACCGUAAACGAUGAUUACUAGGUGUUGGAGGAUUGACCCCUUCAGUGCCGCAGUUAACACAAUAAGUAAUCCACCUGGGGAGUACGACCGCAAGGUUGAAACUCAAAGGAAUUGACGGGGG